AGCAACAUGGCUGUUUAUUUCACCUGGGUGCAGGCAGGCUGAGUCCGAAAAGACAGUCAGCGAAGGGAGAUAGGGGUGGGGCCAUUUUAUAGGAUUUGGGAAGGUAAUGGAAAAUUACAGUCAAAGGGGGUUGUUCUCUGGUGGGCAGGGGUGGAUCUCACAAAGUACAUUCUCAAGGGUGGGGAGAAUUACAAAGAACCUUCUUAAGGGUGGGGGAGACUACAAAGUACCUUAAGGGUGGGGGAUAUUACAAAGUACAUUGAUCAGUUAGGGUGGGGCAGGAACAAAUCACAAUGGUGGAAUGUCAUCAGUUAAGGCUGUUUUUACUUCUUUUAUGGAUCUUCAGUUACUUCAGGCCAUCUGGAUGUAUACGUGCAAGUCACAGGGGAUGCGAUGGCCUGGCCUGGGCUCAGAGGCCUGACAUUCCUGCCUUCUUAUAUUAAUAAGACAAAUAAAACAAAAUAGUGUUGAAGUGUUGGAGCGGCGAAAAUUUUUGGGGGGUGGUAUGGAGAGAGAAUGGGCGAUGUUUCUCAGGGCUGCUUCAAGUGGGAUUGGGGCGGCGUGGGAACAUAAAGUGGGAGAGAUUAAGCUGAAGGGAAGUCUUGUGGUAAGGGAUGAUAUUGUGGGGAUGUUAGAAGAAACAUUUGUCAUAUAGAAUGAUUGGUGAUGGCCUGGAUACAGUUUUGGAUGAACUGAGAAGCUAAAUGGAAGAUACAAGGUCUGAAUAAAAGGAGGAGAAAAAUGGGUAUUAAAGGACUAAGAAUUGGGAGGACCCAGGACAUCCAAUUAGAGAGUGCCCAAGGGGGUUCAGCGUAAUUACUUGCUUGGUUGGCAAGUUUUUGGGCUCUAUCCUUGAGUUUUUUUAUGUUGUCAUACACCAGGCCAGACUGAUUUAGGUAAAAACAACACUCCUCAUUUAAGAAUAUGCAGAGUCCUCCUUUUUCAGCAGUAAGUAAGUCAAGGCCUCGGCGGUUUUGGAGGACAACUGCAGCUAAAGAGUCAACUUGGGCCUGGAGGACUGAUAAAGUUUGUGAUUUUGAGGGCCUCUAAAAGUAUUAAAGCAGCAGCAGCUGCUGCACGCAGACAUGAGGGCUAGGCUAAAACAGUAAGGUCAAGUUGUUUGGACAGAAAGGCUACAGGGUGUGGUCCUGGCUCUUGUGUAAGAAUUCCGACCACGCUAACCAUGCCUAGGAAGGAAAAGAGUUGUUGUUUUGUAGAAGGUGCUGGGGUUUGAGAGAUCAGUCGGACACGAUUGGCAGGGAAAGCACGUGUGCUUUUACGAGAAUUACGCCGAGAUAGGUAACAGAUGAGGAAGAAAUCUGGGCUUGACUGAAGUAAUGGGGGCUGUCUGUGAAGCUUUGCAGCAGUACAGCCCAGGUAAUUUGCUGAGCCUAAUGGGGUGUCAGGGUCAGUCUAAGUGAAAGCAAAGAGAGGCUGGGACGAGGGGUGCAGGGGAAUAGUGAAAAAAGCAUCUUUAAGAUGGAGAACAGAAUAGUGAGUUGUGGAGGAACGUAUUGAGGACAAAAGAGUGUACGGGUUGGGCACCACAGGGUGGAUAGGCAAAACAAUUUGGUUGAUAAGACGCAGAUCCUGAACUAAUCUGUAAGACUUAUCCGGUUUUUGGACAGGUAAAAUGGGGGAAUUGUAAGAGUUUAUAGGUUUUAGAAGCCCAUGCUGUAGCAGGCGAGUGAUAACAGGCUUUAAUCCUUUUAAAGCAUGCUGUGGGAUGGGAUAUUGGCGUUGAGCGGGGUAAGGGUGAUGGAAGGAGUAGAGAUGUCCCAUACUUGUGGGUUAAGGUGGGGGGAUAUAAGAGGAAGACGCGAAGGAGGCUUUGAGUUGGGGAGAAGGUCGGCAAUGAGAUGCGGCUGUAGUCCAGGAAUAGUCAGGGAAGCAGAUAAUUUGGUUAAAAUAUCUCGGCCUAAUAAGGGAACUGGGCAGGUGGGAAUAACUAAAAAAGAGUGCAUAAAGGAGUGUUGUCCAAGUUGGCACCAGAGUGGGGGAGUUUUAAGAGGUUUAGAAGCCUGGCUGUCAAUACCCACAGUUAUGGAGGCAAGGGAAACAGGCCCUUGAAAAGAAGGUAAUGUGGAGCGGGUAGCCUCCGUAUUGAUUAAGAAGGGGACGGGCUUACCUUCCACUGUGAGAGUUACCGGAAGCUCGGCGUCCGUGAUGGUCUACGGGGCUUCCGAGGCGAUCGGGCAGCAUCAGUCUUCAGCCGCUAAGCCGAGAAGGAGUCAGUCAGAGAGCCUUGGGCCAGAGUUCCAGGGACUCUGGGAGUGGCUGCCAGGUAACCAGAGAUGACCUUGUACUGUGAGAGGAUUUGACCCUGGCAUGUGAAAUGGCAGAUGAGAGCUAGAAAGAAUUUUGUUCUUAUAGCCCAAGGUGGAGUUCAAUGGCACGAUCUCAGCUCACUGCAACAUCCGCCUCCUGGGUUCAAGCGAUUCUCCUGCCUCAGCCUACUGAGUAGCUGGGACUACAGGCGCACGUCACCAUGCCCAGCUAAUUUUUGUAUUUUUAGUAGAGACGGGGCUUCACCAUGUUGACCAGGCUGGUCUUGAACUCCUGACCUCAGGCAAUCCGCUUGCCUCCUGACCUCAGGCAAUCCGCCUGCUUCAGCCUCCAAAAGUGCUGGGAUUACAGGUGUGGGCCACCACACCCAGCCCUCGUAUGUGCUUUUAAAGUCCUUGUGACAGUGAGUUACAAGGCUUUGACUCCUAGGUCUAAAAAGGACACCAAGUCCUGAGAAAUCCUAAACUCUGACAGCAAUUAAAGGCUCAUCUUCAGGCCUGCUGGAAGAUGCCAAUCAAAAUAAACUGCAUUUCCUGUGACACAGGGUCAGAAUUUAAAGCUAUUCAACUCCACAAGGCCCAGGGACUAUUGUGGAAGAG
Molecule: long non-coding RNA, 2885 nt
Filed under: Homo sapiens (human)
Lineage: Eukaryota; Metazoa; Chordata; Mammalia; Primates; Hominidae
Description: HSALNT0376228
Source: RNAcentral